Molecule: ribosomal RNA, 471 nt
Filed under: uncultured organism
Description: partial 16S ribosomal RNA
Rfam family: Bacterial small subunit ribosomal RNA
Source: RNAcentral
ACGUACACUCCUGCGGGAGGCAGCAGUGAGGAAUAUUGGACAAUGGGUGGAAGCCUGAUCCAGCCAUCCCGCGUGCAGGAAGACGGCCCUAUGGGUUGUAAACUGCUUUUAUCUGGGGAUAAACCUACUUACGUGUAAGUAGCUGAAGGUACCAGAAGAAUAAGCACCGGCUAACUCCGUGCCAGCAGCCGCGGUAAUACGGAGGGUGCAAGCGUUAUCCGGAUUUAUUGGGUUUAAAGGGUCCGUAGGCGGACUGAUAAGUCAGUGGUGAAAUCCGACAGCUUAACUGUCGAACUGCCAUUGAUACUGUUAGUCUUGAGUAAGGUUGAAGUGGCUGGAAUAAGUAGUGUAGCGGUGAAAUGCAUAGAUAUUACUUAGAACACCAAUUGCGAAGGCAGGUCACUAAGUCUUAACUGACGCUGAUGGACGAAAGCGUGGGGAGCGAACAGGAUUAGAAACCCGAGUAGUCCC